This 1283-nucleotide long non-coding RNA is filed under the name Homo sapiens (human). RNAcentral's name for it is "non-protein coding lnc-STMN4-1:1". The record is from RNAcentral. Lineage: Eukaryota; Metazoa; Chordata; Mammalia; Primates; Hominidae.
AUGUACAUAAUUGCAUAAGGUGUCAAUUCUGCUCUACAGUGCAGUUUUAGUUGCAUAGGUUUCCAUUGUAUUUAUAGUCUGUUUAUGCUAAAUCUGGCCAAAGGUGAGCAUUGUCCACCACUAAAAUGCCUCUGCCACUUUGAAUUCUGUGCUAAUUUUGUGGCCAGAAUGAAGUGAUCAAAAUGCUCCAUCUUUUUACAGUGGCAUAGGAAGACGGCAAAAAUUUCCUAAAGUGCAAUAGAUUUUCAAGUGUAUUGUGCCUUGUUCUAAAACUUUUAUUAAGUAGGUGCACUUGACAGUAUUGAGGUCAUUUGUUAUGGUGCUAUUUCAGUUAGUCUAAGUUUAAGCCCUUGUACAUUUUGCCCAAAACUUUUUACAAAGUACUUCUUUUAUUGCACAUUCAGAGAAUUUUAUAUAUAUGUCUUGUGUGCGUGUCCUUAAACUUCCAAUCUUACUUUGUCUCUUGGAGAUUGUUUAACACAGCUUUUCUAGGAAGGGGAUGGGACUAGAUUCUAAAAUUUAUCUGGGACCAUGGGAAUGAUAGUUGGGAAGAAAACUAUUUGCACAUGACAGAUUUCUAGAUAAUUUUUGCUGCUAGUUUUAUGUAAUAAUUUUUGAACAUUUUGGCAAUUAUUUAUUUUUGUAAGCCUAAAAGUGAUUCUUUGAAAGUUUAAAGAAACUUGACCAAAACACAGUAUAAAAACACUGGCACUUGAAUGUUGAAUGUCACCAUAUGCGUGAAAUUAUAUAUUUCGGGGUAGUGUGAGCUUUUAAUGUUAAGUCAUAUUAAACUCUUAAGUCAAAUUAAGCAGACCCGGCCUUGGCAGUGUAGCCAUAACUUUCUGAUGUUAGUAAAAACAUAAUUGGUGACUUGAAAUUAAAUCAUGCCAAGGUUUUGAUACACUUGUCUUAAGAUGUUAAUGAAACAUUUCAAAACACUGAUGUGAAGUGUCCAGAUUCUCAGAUGUUUGUUGUGUGAAUUUUGUUUAGUUGUGAUUUUUUUUUUUCAGUGAAUGUCUGGCACAUUGCAAUCCUCAAACGUGGUUAUCUUGUUGUAUUGGCAUAAUUAGUGACUUGUACCUUCAGCAACAGCAUUUGAGCAAGUUUUUAUCAGCAAGCAAUAUUUUCAGUUAAUAAGGUUUCAAAAAUCAUGUAAGAAUUUAAACUUGCUGAAUGUAAAGAUUGAACCUCAAGUCACUGUGGCUUUAGUAAUUGCUUAUUGUAUUAGCUUAGAUGCUAGAACUGCAUGUGCUGUGCAUAUUCUGAUUACAUUAAAAUAAAAA